UAUGGAGGAUCCGAGCGUUAUCCGGAAUUAUUGGGUUUAAAGGGUGCGUAGGCGGCCAUUUAAGUCAGCGGUGAAAUUUUGCAGCUUAACUGUAACAGUGCCGUUGAUACUGUUUGGCUAGGAUUUGGUUGUAGUGUGCGGAAUGUGUGGUGUAGCGGUGAAAUGCUUAGAUAUCACACAGAACACCGAUUGCGAAGGCAGCACACUAAGUCAUUAUUGGCGCUGAGGCACGAAAGUGUGGGGAUCAAACAGGAUUAGA
This 259-nucleotide ribosomal RNA is filed under the name uncultured prokaryote. RNAcentral's name for it is "partial 16S ribosomal RNA". It matches the Rfam family "Bacterial small subunit ribosomal RNA", at positions 524 to 782 of the family's 1533-position model. The record is from RNAcentral.